GUGAACGCUGGCGGUAGGCCUAACACAUGCAAGUCGAACGGCAGCACAGUAAGAGCUUGCUCUUACGGGUGGCGAGUGGCGGACGGGUGAGGAAUGCAUCGGAAUCUACUUUUUCGUGGGGAAUAACGUAGGGAAACUUACGCUAAUACCGCAUACGACCUACGGGUGAAAGCAGGGGAUCUUCGGACCUUGCGCGAUUGAAUGAGCCGAUGUCGGAUUAGCUAGUUGGCGGGGUAAAGGCCCACCAAGGCGACGAUCCGUAGCUGGUCUGAGAGGAUGAUCAGCCACACUGGAACUGAGACACGGUCCAGACUCCUACGGGAGGCAGCAGUGGGGAAUAUUGGACAAUGGGCGCAAGCCUGAUCCAGCCAUACCGCGUGGGUGAAGAAGGCCUUCGGGUUGUAAAGCCCUUUUGUUGGGAAAGAAAAGCAGCAGGUUAAUACCCCGCUGUUCUGACGGUACCCAAAGAAUAAGCACCGGCUAACUUCGUG
This 491-nucleotide ribosomal RNA is filed under the name uncultured bacterium. RNAcentral describes it as "partial 16S ribosomal RNA". It matches the Rfam family "Bacterial small subunit ribosomal RNA", at positions 29 to 507 of the family's 1533-position model. The record is from RNAcentral.